RNAcentral lists this ribosomal RNA (388 nucleotides) under Thysanoessa raschii. Its description in RNAcentral is "partial 16S ribosomal RNA". It matches the Rfam family "Bacterial large subunit ribosomal RNA", at positions 1931 to 2523 of the family's 2925-position model. The record is from RNAcentral. Lineage: Eukaryota; Metazoa; Arthropoda; Malacostraca; Euphausiacea; Euphausiidae.
CCGCGGUAUCUUGACCGUGCAAAGGUAGCAUAGUCAUUUGUCUUUUAAUUGGAGGCUUGUAUGAAUGGUCGCACAAAAAAUAAUUUGUCUUAAUUAAAUAUAUUGAAUUUAACUUUUAAGUAAAAAGGCUUAAAUAAAUUAAAGUGACGAUAAGACCCUAUAAAACUUUAUAAUUUAUACUAAAAAAAUAUAUUAGUUAUUUAAAAUUUUUUUUGUGGAUUUUAUUUUAUUGGGGCGAUAAAAAUAAAAAUAGUAACUGUUUUUAAAAUUUAAAUGAUAAUUGUCAGUUUUAUUAAAUGAUCCUUUAUUAAAGAUUAUAAGAUUAAGUUACUUUAGGGAUAACAGCGUAAUUUUCUUUGAGAGCUCUUAUCUACAAGAAAGAUUGUGA